Gossypium raimondii (Peruvian cotton) is the source of this 1496-nucleotide long non-coding RNA. RefSeq lists it as uncharacterized. Lineage: Eukaryota; Viridiplantae; Streptophyta; Magnoliopsida; Malvales; Malvaceae. The record is from RefSeq and is a predicted model, not a curated record. The transcript is spliced from 2 exons.
AAUUUUUUUUUUCAAAUUUCGAGUUCGAAUCGAGUUGAAUUUUUGAAUUCGAAUAACUCGAAUAAUUCGAAUAAAAACUAUAUUUUUUAUUUUUAAAAUAUACUACAUAUAUUUUUUAUUUUUAAAAUACACUACAUUUAAAACAAAAUCACUUCCAAAAUCCCUAACUAAGCCCGUGCCCUCCCUCCUCCCUUUUUUCCCAAUUCGAAAAUCUUCACCUCCGGUCCACCCCCCUCCACCGAUCCACCUCCGGUCCCGGGUCCUCCACGGCUGACUGCUCCACCGCCAGUGCUUUUACAUCUUCUACCUUUGAUUUCUAAGUACCUUGGUUUGAGCUCUGCGAAUCUUUCUAAAGCAACUGAUUGGGUACACAGGUAACAUUCAAACUUCCCUCUUUGUUAGAGUUAACACUUGUCAGCUGUUAAAGAAGUCCUCUUGAUCCCAGUGAAAAGAUCCAAACCAACAAAUCUUUUAUCAUAAAUUAUGGGUUUCUGUUGAAACAAAUAAAAAGAAAAAACAUUGAAAAAAAAUUCUGGCUUCUGUCAUUAAAAUAAGCUUUUUUCUGGUUUUCCCUUAUUUUGUCUUGUUUUUGUUUCUUGGUGUGGGAUAUGAGUGUUUUCAAUUUUGCCUCGUGGGUUUUUGGAUUGAACUUUAAGAAUUAUGCGUUGAACGGUCGUAAAUUUUUGGCGAAGAGAGAAGAAACUUGUUUCUUCAUUGUUUAUCAAAGCAAAGCAGGCUUGAGUUUUCUUUAAGUUUGCAGGGAGAGAGUGGAAUUCCCUUUUAUUUUCGCUACUUGUUGUUUAGUUCUUAAGCUUUUCUUGUGGGGGUGGUGAGAAAGAACUGUUAUCAUCUCUGGUACUAAACAUAACCAACACAAAAAAUAAGAAUCUUUAGAGGAGGGAAGGAUCGAUGUAAGCAAGUAAGAUGGAUUGCGCCUACGGUUGGUUAUUGGAUUGUUAAUUGUGAUGGUGCCUUCAAUUUAUUGUCGAAGGAAGUUGGAAUUGGGGUGAUCAUUAGAGAUUCUAUGGCUGCUUUAGUUGCUAAGAAGGGAAGAAGUUUCUUGGCUAGCUCUACCCUUGAAGUUGAGGCUCUUGCUAUGCAUGAAGGUUUUUUACUUGCUGACAACAAGAGACGCCAACAGAGCUGUAGAUUAGGUUGCAUCUCAAUUCAGGAGGAGGAUGUGCCUUUCCAACUGGGUGGAUUCAUCCCAUCUUCUCUGGUUCCUAUUCUGAGUUGAGAUGAAUUACCAACACCCCAUUGAGUGUGUUUUCUUAAACGAAAUCUUAGAGAUAAUCUAUUACACUUCUCUAAAAGAUUCUUAUUUUUUGUUUUGGAGGUUAGUUAGCUUCUUUUCUGGGUUUUUAUUUCUAUUUGGGGUUCUUUUGUAUAGCUCUGCCAUCGUUUAUGCCUAUGGAAUGUGUUAUUUGUUUUGUUUUUCUUUUCAAUGGGUUGCUUUUAAUGUUGUUGAAAUUUGAAACUUAGAUUGCUUUUCUGGA